RNAcentral lists this ribosomal RNA (255 nucleotides) under uncultured bacterium. RNAcentral describes it as "partial 16S ribosomal RNA". It matches the Rfam family "Bacterial small subunit ribosomal RNA", at positions 524 to 777 of the family's 1533-position model. The record is from RNAcentral.
UACAGAGGUCUCAAGCGUUGUUCGGAUUCAUUGGGGCGUAAAGGGUGCGUAGGUGGCGCUGUAAGUCGGGUGUGAAAUUUCGGAGCUUAACUCCGAAACUGCAUUCGAUACUGCGGUGCUUGAGGACUGGAGAGGAGACUGGAAUUCAUGGUGUAGCAGUGAAAUGCGUAGAGAUCAUGAGGAAGACCAGUGGCGAAGGCGGGUCUCUGGACAGUUCCUGACACUGAGGCACGAAGGCCAGGGGAGCAAAACGGG